UUGCUAUCUUCAGCAGCAUAUGUACUAAAAUUAGAACAACACAGGGAAGAUUAGCAUGGCCCCUGUGCAAGGGUGACACACAAAUUUGUGAAGCAUUUCAUAUUUUU
Molecule: small nuclear RNA, 107 nt
Organism: Jaculus jaculus (lesser Egyptian jerboa)
Lineage: Eukaryota; Metazoa; Chordata; Mammalia; Rodentia; Dipodidae
Source: Ensembl